Molecule: ribosomal RNA, 615 nt
Filed under: Debaryomyces nepalensis
Lineage: Eukaryota; Fungi; Ascomycota; Pichiomycetes; Serinales; Debaryomycetaceae
Description: eukaryotic LSU rRNA
Rfam family: 5.8S ribosomal RNA (bases 203-356)
Source: RNAcentral
GGUUUCGAUAUUCUAUUAGCAGCGCUUAUUGCGCGGCGAAAAACCUUACACACAGUGUUUUUUGUUAUUACAAGAACUCUUGCUUUGGUCUGGACUAGAAAUAGUUUGGGCCAGAGGUUUACUAAACUAAACUUCAAUAUUUAUAUUGAAUUGUUAUUUAUUUUAAUUGUCAAUUUGUUGAUUAAAUUCAAAAAAUCUUCAAAACUUUCAACAACGGAUCUCUUGGUUCUCGCAUCGAUGAAGAACGCAGCGAAAUGCGAUAAGUAAUAUGAAUUGCAGAUUUUCGUGAAUCAUCGAAUCUUUGAACGCACAUUGCGCCCUUUGGUAUUCCAAAGGGCAUGCCUGUUUGAGCGUCAUUUCUCUCUCAAACCUUCGGGUUUGGUAUUGAGUGAUACUCUUAGUCGAACUAGGCGUUUGCUUGAAAUGUAUUGGCAUGAGUGGUACUGGAUAGUGCUAUAUGACUUUCAAUGUAUUAGGUUUAUCCAACUCGUUGAAUAGUUUAAUGGUAUAUUUCUCGGUAUUCUAGGCUCGGCCUUACAAUAUAACAAACAAGUUUGACCUCAAAUCAGGUAGGACUACCCGCUGAACUUAAGCAUAUCAAAAGGCGGGAGGAAA